This 340-nucleotide ribosomal RNA is filed under the name uncultured bacterium. RNAcentral describes it as "bacterial SSU rRNA". It matches the Rfam family "Bacterial small subunit ribosomal RNA", at positions 1 to 340 of the family's 1533-position model. The record is from RNAcentral.
UANAGUUGAUCAUGGCUCAGAGUGNCACGCUGGCGGUAGGCCUAACACAUGCAAGUCGAACGGCAGCACAGAGGAGCUUGCUCCUUGGGUGGCGAGUGGCGGACGGGUGAGGAAUACAUCGGUAAUCUACUCUGUCGUGGGGGGUAACGUAGGAAACUUACGCUAAUACCGCAUACGACCUACGGGUGAAAGCAGGGGAUCUUCGGACCUUGCGCGAUUGAAUGAGCCGAUGUCGGAUUAGCUAGUUGGCGGGGUAAAGGCCCACCAAGGCGACGAUCCGUAGCUGGUCUGAGAUUAUGAUCAGCCAUCACUUGGAACUGAGACACUGGUCCAGACGUCC